AGUGGAUGCCUUGGCACCAGGAGCCGAUGAAGGACGUAGGAGGCUGCGAUAAGCCUCGGGGAGCUGUC
RNAcentral lists this ribosomal RNA (68 nucleotides) under Nocardia rhamnosiphila. RNAcentral describes it as "partial 23S ribosomal RNA". Lineage: Bacteria; Bacillati; Actinomycetota; Actinomycetes; Mycobacteriales; Nocardiaceae. The record is from RNAcentral.